Molecule: ribosomal RNA, 253 nt
Filed under: uncultured bacterium
Lineage: Bacteria
Description: partial 16S ribosomal RNA
Rfam family: Bacterial small subunit ribosomal RNA
Source: RNAcentral
UACAGAGGUCUCAAGCGUUGUUCGGAAUUACUGGGCGUAAAGGGUGCGCAGGCCGCGCGGGCAGUCAAAUGUGUAAUUCAGGGGCUCAACCCCUGCACUGCGCUUGAUACUUCCGCGCUAGAACUUUGGAGAGGAGUCUGGAAUUCUCGGUGUAGCAGCGAAAUGCGUGGAUAUCGAGAAGAACACUAAGGGCGUAGGCAAGACUCUGGACAAAUGUUGACGCUCAUGCACGAAGGCUAGGGUAGCGAACGGG